GUCUCUGUAGAUCAGCGGUUGAUCACCUGGGAAAUAUGAUCUGGGUACACAUUCAUUUCUUCAGAAGCUGUGGGUUCGACUCCCGCCGGAGAUA
Non-coding RNA from Mycena epipterygia, 94 nucleotides. NCBI's taxonomy places the organism in Eukaryota, Fungi, Basidiomycota, Agaricomycetes, Agaricales, Mycenaceae. The record is from the annotation of a GenBank genome assembly.